AAAACUAUUUGAUCAAGAUAUAUUUGAGGGCAGUUUGUAGAAAAAUAUAAAUAAAAAUGUAUAUAUGAAUUUAAUAUAUGUAAGUAAAAUUGUAUAUAUUAGGGAAUUAAAUAAAAUACAUGCUAUUAAAUCUACGAAAAAUAAGGUAGAAACUAGGAUUAGAUACCCUGUUAUUCUUAUUCAUAAAACUUCAUAUGCUGGGAGACUACGAGUGUUUAACUUAAAAUCUAAAAGACUUGGCGGUAUUUAAAACUUCUUAGGGGAGCUUGUUUCGUAAUCGAUAAUCCACGUACUACCUGACUUAUUUUAUUAGCUUGUAUAUCGUCAUCUUUAGUUAACUUCWWAGAAAAAUAAAGUUAACGGAAUAAUUUACUUAAAUUAAUAUGUUAGAUCAAGAUGCAGUUUAUAAAUAAGGGAAAAUGAGCUACAAUUAUUAUAUUUAUAUUUCUAAUAAAUAAAUUAAAAUUUUUUUGAGGGAGGACUUAACAGUAAAAUAUUAUAUAAGAAAUAUCUUGAAUAUCUAUUUUAAAUAUGC
RNAcentral lists this ribosomal RNA (535 nucleotides) under Hydroginella sp. MNHN-IM-2013-43736. RNAcentral describes it as "partial 12S ribosomal RNA". The record is from RNAcentral. Lineage: Eukaryota; Metazoa; Mollusca; Gastropoda; Neogastropoda; Marginellidae.